AAGUCCCGUAACGAGCGCAACCCUUGUCCUUAGUUGCCAGCAUUAAGUUGGGCUCUCUAAGGAGACUGCCGUGGUGAACACGGAGGAAGGUGGGGAUGACGUCAAGUCCUCAUGGCCUUUAUAUCCAGGGCGACACACGUGAUACAAUGGAUGGUACAGAGGGAAGCCAAAGCGCAAGCUGGAGCCAAUCUCAAAAAGCCAUUCUCAGUUCGGAUUGGAGUCUGCAACUCGACUCCAUGAAGUUGGAAUCGCUAGUAAUCGCGGAUCAGCACGCUGCGGUGAAUACGUUCCCGGGCCUUGUACACACCGCCCGU
Molecule: ribosomal RNA, 314 nt
Filed under: uncultured soil bacterium
Lineage: Bacteria
Description: bacterial SSU rRNA
Rfam family: Bacterial small subunit ribosomal RNA
Source: RNAcentral